AGAGUGAACGCUGGCGGUAGGCCUAACACAUGCAAGUCGAACGGCAGCACAGUGGUAGCAAUACCAUGGGUGGCGAGUGGCGGACGGGUGAGGAAUACAUCGGAAUCUACCUUUUCGUGGGGGAUAACGUAGGGAAACUUACGCUAAUACCGCAUACGCCCUUCGGGGGAAAGCCGGGGAUCGCAAGACCUGGCGCGGAUAGAUGAGCCGAUGUCGGAUUAGCUAGUUGGUGAGGUAAUGGCUCACCAAGGCGACGAUCCGUAGCUGGUCUGAGAGGAUGAUCAGCCACACUGGAACUGAGACACGGUCCAGACUCCUACGGGAGGCAGCAGGUGGGAAUAGUUGGAACAAUGGGACGCAAAGGCCUGAUCCAGCCAUACCCGCGUGGGUGAAGAAGGCCUUACGGUUGUAAACGCCGUUUUGUUAGGAAAGAAAAGACAAGUACGGUUAA
This 451-nucleotide ribosomal RNA is filed under the name uncultured soil bacterium. RNAcentral describes it as "bacterial SSU rRNA". It matches the Rfam family "Bacterial small subunit ribosomal RNA", at positions 26 to 469 of the family's 1533-position model. The record is from RNAcentral.